Molecule: ribosomal RNA, 761 nt
Filed under: uncultured euryarchaeote
Lineage: Archaea; Methanobacteriati; Methanobacteriota
Description: bacterial SSU rRNA
Rfam family: Archaeal small subunit ribosomal RNA
Source: RNAcentral
AGUUCACUACGCCUGGAACGGUGAGUGGAUGAAAGCCCCGGCGGCAUAGGAUGGGCCUGCGGCGUAUCAGGUUGUAGGGGGUGUAAUGUACCCUCUAGCCCUCUACGCGUACGGGUGUUGAGAGACAUCGCCCGGAGAUGGAUUCUGAGACACGAAUCCAGACCCUACGGGGUGCAGCAGGCGCGAAAACUUGGCAAUGCGAGAAAUCGUGACCAGGGAACUCCAAGUGCAUGGGGUAAGACCUAUGCUUUUCUAGACUCUAAAAAGGUCUUGGAAUAAGAGGUGGGUAAGGACGGUGCCAGCCGCCGCGGUAAUACCGGCGCCUCAAGUGGUAGUCGCUUUUAUUGGGCCUAAAACGUCCGUAGCCGGUCUGAUACAUUCGUGGGUAAAUCAACCAGCUUAACUGGUUGAAUUCUGCGAGGACGGUCAGACUUGGGACCGGGAAAGGUGUGGGGUACGCUCAGGGUAGGGGUAAAAUCCUGUCAUCCUGAGCGGACCACCUGUUGCGAAGGCGCCACACUGGAACGGAUCCGACGGUCAGGGACGAAGCCUAGGGGCACGAACCGGAUUAGAUACCCGGGUAGUCCUAGGUGUAAACGCUGUGGACUUGAUGUUGGGGGUGCUCCGAGCACUCUCAGUGUCGAAGCGAAGGCGAUAAGUCCACUGCCUGGGAAGUACGGUCGCAAGGCUGAAACUUAAAGGAAUUGACGGGGGAGCACCGCAACCUGAGGAUUGUGCGGUUUAAUUGGAUUCAACGCCGG